AAUAAAAAUAAAAAAUUAUAAUUUUAAAUUUAAAAAAAUAAAAAUUUUAAAUUUAAUUGAAAUAAAUUUUAAUUCAAAAAAAUGAAAUAAGAAUUUUAAUUUUAAUUCAAAUAAUUUUUUUUUAAAAAAAAGAAAACGAAUCCGUAUCAUCUCCGUACCGAUCAGUAUCGGUGCCAUACCGGCUUAAAUUACCCAACAUAUUAUUAUUAUUUACGUUAUAAUUUUUAUAGCACUUUUAGCAU
RNAcentral lists this long non-coding RNA (242 nucleotides) under Elaeis guineensis (African oil palm). RNAcentral describes it as "long non-coding RNA (EGUI_LNC034819)". The record is from RNAcentral. Lineage: Eukaryota; Viridiplantae; Streptophyta; Magnoliopsida; Arecales; Arecaceae.